This 461-nucleotide long non-coding RNA is filed under the name Homo sapiens (human). Its description in RNAcentral is "non-protein coding lnc-TRAF5-6:5". The record is from RNAcentral. Lineage: Eukaryota; Metazoa; Chordata; Mammalia; Primates; Hominidae.
UGUAGACUCCUGCAUAGCCUUCCAAAGUUCUUCAUUUGGUGAAUAUUAUGAGAAAUGACACCGAGGUGACUGGCACAUGGUCGAGGCAGCUGCUUAGGCAGCUUAAGCAUGCCCUGUGAAACAUCCCUGUGGGGGACUCCGACCAGCCCAGGCAACGCGGAUCCUGAGAACGCUCCCGGGUAGGCAUCUGCCCCUGUGGGAUGCCUCACCAGAGCAGUGUGUGGCAGGCCCCCGUGGAGGACCAACACAGUGGCUGAACACCGGGAAGGAACAGGAUCUUGGAGUCUGGACAUCUAAAACUUGGCACAUGUACCACCCCUAGAAUUUCUGGUAAACCAGCACCAGCCUGAAGAUCACGUUCUCAUCAAACGGUGGAAAGAAGAAAAACUCGAGCCAACCUAGGAAGGACCCCACCUUGUGCUGCUAACCACCAAGACUGCUGUUUGUACAGAAAAAAAAAA